RNAcentral lists this ribosomal RNA (425 nucleotides) under uncultured bacterium. RNAcentral's name for it is "partial 16S ribosomal RNA". It matches the Rfam family "Bacterial small subunit ribosomal RNA", at positions 338 to 755 of the family's 1533-position model. The record is from RNAcentral.
CCUACGGGAGGCAGCAGUGGGGAAUAUUGCGCAAUGGGCGAAAGCCUGACGCAGCGACGCCGCGUGAGGGAUGAAGGUCUUCGGAUCGUAAACCUCUGUCAGCAGGGAAGAACGGUCACUGUGCUAAUCAGCAGUGAAUUGACGGUACCGGCAAAGGAAGCACCGGCUAACUCCGUGCCAGCAGCCGCGGUAAUACGGAGGGUGCGAGCGUUAAUCGGAAUUACUGGGCGUAAAGCGCGCGUAGGCGGUAUGUCAAGCCAAGGGUGAAAUCCCCGCGCUCAACGUGGGAACUGCCUUUGAAACUUGCACCCUGGAGUGUGUGAGAGGUUAGUGGCUUUCCAGGGGUAGGAGUGACGUCCGUCGAUAUCUGGAGGACCAUCAGUGGUGACGGCGGCUCUCUGGCCCAUACCUGACGCUGAGGCGCG